CACCUUUUUCACUUUCCUCUCAUUUUCACUUUUAUAAUUACUCCAUUUUUCUCUCGUAAUUACCGGUCGCAACCUAUACACUUCUUGAUUUUGAAUUUCUUCAAAUAUGUUUUCUCUGUUUGAGGUUUCUUUCUAGGACCGCAAAUGGAUCUAAACACAUAGAAAAUUUCUAUGGAUUAGGUUUUAAUCUGAGCCAAAUUCUGAAAGGUGAGUCGAUUCUCUGGUCAAAAACCAGAUAGUCAGAAACCAUACCAAAAGCUCUUGUAUCCUCGUGCAAUCUGCAGGCAGCACUAGGGAUUUUCGCUUGUGGAUUUGAAGCGGUAGUUCAAGCCGUUUUUGACGCCAGAAUUUUCUCUCAUCUGUUUCGUCUCCUUAGUAAUCCUAACGAAAAGUGUAAUCUAGAGAAAAGAAACUCCAUGUUCUUCUCUUGGAGAAAGGAAGAUGAUAGUUCACUUAGAGUAGUGAUACGUCUCUUGGCCAAAGUAUGAUUUCCUCCAAGAGAAAAAUCUCCUUGUUGAAUAGCGCGAAUAAAAAUAUUGGCCUUGAUGCGAGCAUUAUCACUCAUGCAUGUGGAACAAGAGUAGAGCAACAGCUUCUCAUUAGAAUUUGUGUGCAGGGCGUUUCACCAACUAUCAUGUUAUGGUUCCUUUGGUUCAGUUAUUGUAUGAUCCAUUAUCCUCGGUCCAUGUACAUGUACUCCAUUGCGCUAACUUGUCUCAGUUGCCAAUGUUGCAGUUCUCUGUCCUCUGAUCUCCUAAAUUAGUCGUUUAGAAGACAUUCUCAAUUGAGUUUAUCAAUAAAUUUCAGUCAUUUUGCUCUUCCUUUUGAAGUAACUUCACGUCUCAAGGUAUUGGAACAGGAAAGCAAAUUUCAGUUUGAUAUAUGAGAGGUUAAAGACUUUUUUCAAUUGACUGCAGGUAAUAUGCCUUGUAGUCGUGCUGAAAGUUUGUCAAUGCAAUUAUGUUGUAACUAUUACAAUAUCAACAGGUCAAAAGAGUCUGACGUAACUAAACAUGUUUAGUAUUUUCAGCUU
Long non-coding RNA from Brassica oleracea var. oleracea, 1033 nucleotides. RefSeq lists it as uncharacterized. The record is from RefSeq and is a predicted model, not a curated record. Lineage: Eukaryota; Viridiplantae; Streptophyta; Magnoliopsida; Brassicales; Brassicaceae. The transcript is spliced from 3 exons.